CCUUUUCUUGUGAGGAAUCCUAUUCGGAAUAAGGGAAUUUCCCUUAAAAAAAGGGAAAAGUUGACAGCUGUGCUCCUGCUCCCAGUCUGCCUACCUCCCCUCUGUCCACUCAAUGCCAUCCCACCACCAAUCCCUGGCUCUGAGCCUUCUUCUCUUGGAGGUUCCCUCAGGGGUUCCCCAACUGCCUUCCUCCACUCCUCUGCAUCCAGCCAGUCUAUGACACCGGCAUCCCCAGGUACGACUGGGGAAGGCAUCCGUCGGAAAACCUGGAGAGCCACAGCCAUUUAGUGUAGACAGUACUGAGUCAGAUGUGGAGAGCAUUGUAGUAACACCCAGCUAACUCGGUGUAAGUCAGCUGCCAGUGUUCCCACUCUGUUAACAACUGCCUCCGAAAGUGUUAAGUAAGUGUUCUUUUCAAGCUCUUGUUCCGAACAGUUUAUAUAGCACAUGGUACAAAUGAGCAAACAUGCUGCCCUAGAGAGGCGACAACUUAUCUGGAGGGUGUACAUAAUCAGGCAUUUCAGAAGGAAAAGAAUGCAAGUUAUUUACCAUUAAAUCUGUUGCUGCAGGGAAAGAUUUCUAAAACCCCUUCGCCAAGCAAGCUCCUUCCCCGCCCCUGGAAGGUUUCUUCAGCUUCAAAACAGCACCAGCUCAUUAAAAGGCAGGGCAGCCAGGCUUCCAUUGCAGUCUCACACUUUUUCUUUCAGAGUUUGCGGUUUUAUAUGGGUCUCCCGCAAUCCCCCCCUCCUCCAUCCCCAAAAGCAUCCACUUGACUGCCCAGGAACCUACAGCACCAUCGGCUGAGAAAGCUGUGGCGAAGAACAAACUCCCUCGAGUUUGGAGCCCUGGAGGGCAGCCAUGUUGAAACUAUCAUUGUUUCGGCCCAUGUCUUUCAUUAAAGGCUGCCAGAUAAAUAUUUACAGCUGGUCAUGGGAGGAGGCAAGUUGGAGGGACCUCGGCACAUUUUCCUUCAUUUCACUGCUCAUCUGGCGUAGGCUUUUGCAUCUAUGCAAUAUUGCGUUGAAUUUGUCGUUGCUGUUGUCAUCUUGGUGCAUUAAGAAUUGUGAGCUUUCAUUUCAAAAUAAGCCCUAUCUGAAUCCCACUGUAUUACCAACAUGGCAAUGUCUUUUGGAAGUUUUAAGGCAUAUGCCAGAACAUAGUCCUUGGUGUUUAAUGAAUCCCAAAUUUCAAGGGAGCUCCUCCCUGCCUGAUUUUGAAUUGUGUUACAUCUGGUAAUCUCCCUCUACCCUGGAAAUCUGAGAUGCCUUGUGUCAAUGUGGCUUCUGGCCUUGUGGUGCUGCUAUGGAAUGCCAGGUCCGUCUGCAAUAUGUUCCUUCAUACAUAACUGACAAAGUGGGCCUCAGUCCACAAAAGCUUAUUCUACAAUAAAUAAAUCUGUGAGUCUUUAAUCUGUGAGUCUUUAAGGUGCUUUUGGUGUAAUGGACUAUCAUGGCUACCACUCUGGAAAUUGCACUUGGCUCUAGUGGGACAAGUUGGGAAUACUGUUGGUGGUGUGCCCAUCCCACCGAACUGUCUCCCUGAGAUCACCAAGCUGGACUUGGAUCUGGUGCUGAGGACCCGCUGGAUGAUUGUCCUGGGUGUUGUCAACUUCCACGCAAAGGCUGCCUCAUCAGAAAUGGCUCAGGACUUGAAAGUGUGCACUUAAGAGUGCGCUCCAGAGUUUUUCUUUUGAAGAUGGGUUACCUGACACCAAGGUAGUGUCAGGUGAUCACAGUCUCACCAGAGUGGCUUCAAGGCUGUGCACCCAUGUUAAUGGGAGAACCUGAGGUGGACCCCAUGCCAGGACACAGCCUUCAUUGAGUCCCUGAGAGUCCUGACCACUGAAAAUAAAUGCAGUCUAACCUACUGGUUUAAGUCCAGUUUCACCUACUUUGCCUCUCCAAGGAUGACAUCCUUAGGAUGAUAUAUUUUAUAUAUUUAUAUAUUUGUGCAUGGCAACAAGUGAGUCUGAUCAAGCUGCAUUAAAAAAAUACUAUUUUGAUGUGACUCUGAAGGGAAAGGUUACGUGAUGGGAUGCACCAGUUUUGGCUUCCUGGCAUGGCUAUAACCACAAUUUUCAAUCCACGCAGCUUUCAGCGAGUCAAAGUGUUCACUGAGCAUCAACUGGAAUAAAAGAGCUUUGGAGAUGUUUAAAAGGAGCCUGAAAAACUGUCAUGGAGAAUGGGGGAGGUAAAAACAAUCCAUAAUAGACAGCUGGGGAUUCAGCAUACUGUUUAGGUCUCCUGUCUGUGAUAUACAACCUACAUCUGUCCAAACACAGACCCCCUCCCUUUGCUUGCCGAGAUGAAUCAACAACAGCUCAGCAAUGAUUGUUUCCAGCUCACACUGAGGCCUACAGAUUAGAACACUCCGGAUUCCACUUGUCAAACUGUCUCGCUAGGACUUGGCCUGCGUUGGGUUUCAUGGUUUGUUUUUAAAACUCCCUCAGAGAUAUUCGUAUGAAAUUGACUUGUGCUAGAAAGUUUAUUUGGUUUUGGGAUCCAGUAGGCCGAGACAGGGAAACUGGGAGGAAAGGGAAGGCAUGUAGGGAUCUCUGUCCCACAGCCUUAGGGGAAGGGUAGCUCAGUGGUUGAGCAUCUGCUUUGGUGAGAUGCUGAGUUCAAUCCCAGCAUCUGCAGAAAGCCCUGUCUGAAACCCUGGAGAGCCUCUGUCAGUCAGUGAUGGGGGAACCAUAUACAGCACCUUGAGCUCAUUGGAAUAAAAGGAAAUAUAUGGCUUGCUUCACCAGCGCCCAUUCUCUUCAAAGGGCCUCAGACUCAUUGUCUCAGCAGAAAUCUGGAGUUGUUUGUAGUGGAUUAACAAAGGAUGGAUUAACAAAGGAUGGACACAGUGGACUAAAUAUCUAAGGAUGCAGUCAACGGC
Non-coding RNA from Podarcis muralis (Common wall lizard), 2883 nucleotides. The record is from RefSeq and is a predicted model, not a curated record. Lineage: Eukaryota; Metazoa; Chordata; Lepidosauria; Squamata; Lacertidae.